Andrographis paniculata is the source of this 2958-nucleotide RNA transcript. RefSeq lists it as uncharacterized. Lineage: Eukaryota; Viridiplantae; Streptophyta; Magnoliopsida; Lamiales; Acanthaceae. The transcript has 19 exons. The record is from RefSeq and is a predicted model, not a curated record.
UUUUUAUUCUUUUAUAUUAUAUUCAAAAUAUCACACAAAUCCAUUUAUCUCACAUCGUACUGUUUAAAUUUCAAUUCAAAAUUUAAAUCCCCGAAACACACCCUUACAUAAUUUUUUAAGUAAUUAUUAUUAUUAUUUUUUGGUAUGGAUCGUAUCCGUAUUUUUAAUUAGCUUAAUCAGCACUACGGAUUAUUAGAAGAUUCUUCCAAAAGGAAAACUACUGCACUCCCUCGUUUUGUCCCUUUCCGUUGUUUCUUCUGUCAGAAACAAGAUUCUUCACACACACAUACGCACGUGUCUGUGUGUGCUUUUCAUCUUCAGUUGAGAGAGCACUGCCCGUUGCAGGUCUACUUUAUCUGCGUAUGCAAUAACCCACUGUACGCCACGCUUCCCAUUUUGUACAUCGGAGACCGUGCCCCAUUCUCUGCCGCCCUUUUUUUUCUGUUAUCACUACAUUCUGGAAGCCUCGGAAAGCCCAGUGGAAGAAUCACAAUGCCAAACACGACUUUCCUCAAUUUCUCAGCGACUUUAUUUUGUUAAGUUUCAACAAAACACGAUUUUAGUUUGAAGUCCAAAAAUGAACAAUAUAAUAGGCCCAUCAAGGAUGGACUCCCGUCUCGAACUAUAAUUUUGGCGGGAAGUUGAUAAAAGGCCAUUUUGGAGCCUAUCGAAUUCGUCGCUGGUUCGGGAGAGGAGAGGAGAGGAGGCUGGAAGCAAAGCUCUGUGAUCGAAUUCAUGGAGAAGUAUUUGGUUCCUGCGAGUGAAUCGACGGAGAAACCGAAGUAUGUUAGAAGGCCUCGAUGGAAGCGAAGCCUUGUGGAAUUGAAUGGAAGAUUUGAUCCGAGCUAUAGACAUCAGCUGUCUACCCUUAUAAUUCAAUCGUAUUCCGAGAUUGGACUGUUCCCUCAUAGAUAUCAUGUCAAUGGAGAGCCGUGCCCGACGCACGCAGAAUGGUUUAUGAAUUCUGGAAGGAAUGAUAAUUCAAGUGCAGUUAAUAGGCAAGGUGUCUCAUCUCUUGAAUUUGAUUCCAAGGGUGUGUACUUGGCAUCUGUAACAAAAUCAGGUUGCUUAACUGUGCAUGACUUUGAUAACAUUCAAGCCUCAAGGUUGGUAGAAGAUGAAACAAAGCAGGUGAUGCACUUAGCUACUCAUCAACAACUUGAUGUUGUCCGGUGGAACCUUGCAAACCAAGAUGAGAUUGCGUGUACUUCAAUGAAGAGCAGCGAAGUCCAUAUUUUUGACAUUGGGUAUAUCUCACACGAACCGAUUGAAAUCUUGAGAAAAAGACCUAGCAUUACUGUUCAUGGUUUCAAUGUUCAGAAAGGCUUCUCCGACAUUGCUUUUUCAUCUGAGAACAAUUCCAGAUUGUUCGCCUCUGAUAGUAGUGGUACAAUCAAUAUUUGGGAUAGAAGACUGAGUGAUCUUCCAUGUUUGCAACUCAAGACGAAUUCUUCUGGCUCACUUAAUAGCAUCAGAUUAACUGCAGAUAAUGAAAUAAUUUAUGGAGCUAACAAGCAGGGGACUAUAUAUAUGUGGGAUUUACGUGGAGGAAGAUCACAUACCACAUUUACAAACCAUAAGGAGGAAUAUUUGUUUCCUUUGAUAACAGUUAAGUUGGCACAUGAGCUGGAGAAAAUAUCUCAUUUGAAGGCUCAGUCAAAUAUUGUUCCAAAGGAAAUACACUCUAUUGAUUUUGAUCCAUCCUGCCCUUACCAAUUGGCUUUUCAUCUCGAUGAUGGGUGGUCAGGUGUCCUGGACAUCAACAAGUUACAAGUUACACACAUUCAUUGCCCUCCACCUGCAUGGUUGGAUGAGUCCAAUGGUUUCACCAAUCUCACUCACUUGAGAAGGCCAUGUUGGCUUCAUACGAACUCAGUUUAUGUUGUUGGUUCAUCAUCCAGUAAUGGAAUUUAUCUUUUGGAUUUCUAUCCAGACAGCACUUCCCCCUGUCAUGUGGAUUACAAUAGUGAAGAGAGCGCCAACCAAGCAACUAAACAGCAUAAGCAAAACAGAUUUUUGCCAUUAUCCGAAAGUGUUACUGCAUGUGUAGCUCAUCCCCUGAACAACACAAUUUUAGCUGCAACCAAGGCAUCCUCACUGAUCGUGAUUUCUCAAUCAAAAGUGUCAUGCUAAGCUGCAUAGUAUGUAGGGCAACUACAAACCGAGGAGUCUAAGUUGGCAUGCCAGAGUCAUAAGACAAGAAGUAAACAGGAUUCGUGAAAUGAUUCUGAGUAGUGAAUACACAUGUUUUUGCUCUGGGCUCCAUUAUAAGGUAUGCUUUCUCAUCUUUUUAUGUAUUUAAAUUCUAAACAAAGUACAGGUGUUUUGUGACAUUGGCUUCGUAUGAGAGCUUCUGAUUAAACACUAUUCUAGUUUUUGCUCAUAUUAUCUAUUUUCUUCAUUUUAUAUUCUAAGCAAUACUGUAUUUUGAUAUAUUAUAAGUACCCUCCUGCCACCCCACCACCCAUCUUCCACUUUGAGUUGCAUCAGUUUGCUCAGAUCUUGAUAACAAUUGACAACAGUGUUAGAUGUGAAUUUUGUAAAUUUUGAAAUAUCAUAUACAUUUAGAGGCAGGUGCAUAUAGUAAUUUGUUGAUCUUUUACUCAGAAUCAUAAAAGUAACAAUAUUUGAUUUUAGUUGAAAGAAGCAUCUCCCUCGUGUAUGUGAUCUUUUCUGCUUGUAUAAGUUUCAUAAAUCUGCAGUGACAUAAUCAUGUUGCACCAAAUUUAACUUUUCAUUUUCUUAGAAUACAUGAUACUAUGUAAUUUUGUUUUCUUUUCAUUUCUCAUUUUACUUUAAAGCAAAAUCUUAUCCUGAUCUUUGUGAUGUCAGUACAUAAUAUAUUUAAUAUUCUUUAAAUAAUGCAAGAAAACAAAUGCUUAUUAAUAAUUAAAUGUUAGUGAUCCAACCGCCCCAUAAAUAUUAUUAAUUGUUAUUAUCUCAGGGAGUUGCGCGUCA